UCCAUAUCAUAAGGAUAUGCCCUUAGAGCCU
This 31-nucleotide non-coding RNA is filed under the name Mus musculus (house mouse). Lineage: Eukaryota; Metazoa; Chordata; Mammalia; Rodentia; Muridae. The record is from RNAcentral.